Molecule: small RNA, 3460 nt
Filed under: Pongo abelii (Sumatran orangutan)
Lineage: Eukaryota; Metazoa; Chordata; Mammalia; Primates; Hominidae
Description: retained intron
Source: RNAcentral
AAUUCAUUUGUUUUUUGUGUUACUGAACCAAAUACAUGUUCAUGCUCAUUUCAUUAGCUCACGACUGGGUCAAGCCUCAGGUAGAGUCUGAAACAAAAGCUAUCAUUAGCAAAGAGAGGGUAAAAGGCUUUCACCUGCUGCCAGAACUCUCUGGAUACCUCUGCACGGUCAUUAGAUUCCUCCUGGUCCCGCGCUGUCUGCAUUGUAUUUGAACUCGCUUGUUAACCUGCUUCCUGAGCUGUGGUUCUGCUUCAGUCCCAAAUGAAUCACUGGCAAGGUAGCACAUCAUUUCAUCCAAAGUUCAGUGUAAUGGCAUCUCUGCCCUGGACAUGAAACCCUGAUCCUUUCCAUCUGCUACUGGAAUGCUGCUGCCUUGGCAGUCUUUUAUCUGCUUACCUCAGCCCAUAAACAUCUCUUUCUGAUCAUCAGGUCACAAGUGUAGGUGUUAGCUUCUAACCCCGAUGCUGUCUUAGGCAUUCCUUAUCAAUAGCUUUUUCUUUCUUUCUGUAAGAUUCUGGCUGUGUUCCGGUUGAGCAGUGGGGUCUUUGAAGGUAAUCCAUAUGAUUCCUCUUUCAUUAGAAGGUUGGGUGAGUGCUGCUGCUCUGAGAAGUUGAUUUUCACAGUAGGUGACCUUAUUUGUUGACCAGGUACGUGCAGGAUCUCAAGGCCCACAUUCCUUAAGAAUUUGUUGUCUCCAUCCCAGGAUCAGAAGUCUUCAUUUUCCCCCACCCCAAUCGCCACCUUCUAUUUUCUAUCACAGAACCUAUGAGUUCCAGGCCAGACCUUUGACCACAAAACUGACUGUUGUUUCCCUCUGGCCAUACGGAGAUCAUUGCUCAGGGAAAACUUUGGCUGAAAUGGUGAAUUUAAGGUUUCUAAAGGCACUAGAUAGACACAUGAUUAUAAAAGCAAGCACUUCUGUACAGCCUGGCCUGGAGGAUAUUGAGAAGCUUUUCUCUCUGGCCUAGUAUAUUUAUAAGAACUGGAUGUACUUGGUCUCAGGACCUCACCAGGCUUGGAAAGUAAGCCAACCGAAGGUAAGUAGAGAUGGAAGAUGUACACCUGGAGCCCUCUAAAGGGAAGCAGGCUAGGGAAACGACCGACGUCUGGAAAUGGCAUGAAAGUGGCAUAAUAUGCAGGGCUACCUGGGCAGCCAGCCGUCUUUAUGUUCGUCUGGAACAGCAGUCCCUGUGUGAUUUGGUCAAAGCCCCUGAGUCCUAGCCUCUAACCUUCUCUUCCCAUGUAUUCAGCUCUACCUACAAGGACUCCAACACUCUGCACCUCCCUACGGAGCGUUUCUCCCCUGUGCGCCGGUUCUCAGAUGGGGCUGCGAGCAUCCAGGCCUUCAAAGCUCACCUGGAAAAAAUGGGCAACAACAGCAGCAUCAAACAGCUGCAGCAGGAGUGUGAGCAGCUGCAGAAGAUGUACGGGGGGCAGAUUGAUGAAAGAACCCUGGAGAAGACCCAGCAGCAGCAUAUGUUAUACCAGCAGGAGCAGCACCAUCAAAUUCUCCAGCAACAAAUUCAAGACUCUAUCUGUCCUCCUCAGCCAUCUCCACCUCUUCAGGCUGCAUGUGAAAAUCAGCCAGCCCUCCUUACCCAUCAGCUCCAGAGGUUAAGGAUUCAGCCUUCAAGCCCACCCCCCAACCACCCCAACAACCAUCUCUUCAGGCAGCCCAGUAAUAGUCCUCCCCCCAUGAGCAGUGCCAUGAUCCAGCCUCACGGUGCUGCAUCUUCUUCCCAGUUUCAAGGCUUACCUUCCCGCAGUGCAAUCUUUCAGCAGCAACCUGAGAACUGUUCCUCUCCUCCCAACGUGGCACUAACCUGCUUGGGUAUGCAGCAGCCUGCUCAGUCACAGCAGGUCACCAUCCAAGUCCAAGAGCCUGUUGACAUGCUCAGCAACAUGCCAGGCACAGCUGCAGGCUCCAGUGGGCGCGGCAUCUCCAUCAGCCCCAGUGCCAGUCAAAUGCAGAUGCAGCACCGUACCAACCUGAUGGCCACCCUCAGCUAUGGGCACCGUCCCUUGUCCAAGCAGCUGAGUGCUGACAGUGCAGAGGCUCAUAGUGCACAUCAGCAGCCGCCACACUAUACCACAUCGGCACUACAGCAGGCCCUGCUGUCUCCCACGCCGCCAGACUAUACAAGACACCAGCAGGUACCCCACAUCCUUCAAGGACUGCUUUCUCCCCGGCAUUCGCUCACCGGCCACUCGGACAUCCGGCUGCCCCCAACAGAGUUUGCACAGCUCAUUAAAAGGCAGCAGCAACAACGGCAGCAGCAGCAGCAACAGCAGCAACAGCAAGAAUACCAGGAACUGUUCAGGCACAUGAACCAAGGGGAUGCAGGGAGUCUGGCUCCCAGCCUUGGGGGACAGAGCAUGACAGAGCGCCAGGCUUUAUCUUAUCAAAAUGCUGACUCUUAUCACCAUCACACCAGCCCCCAGCAUCUGCUACAAAUCAGGGCACAAGAAUGUAUCUCACAGGCUUCCUCAGCCACCCCGCCCCACGGGUAUGCUCACCAGCCGGCACUGAUGCAUUCAGAGAGCAUGGAGGAGGACUGCUCAUGUGAGGGGGCCAAGGACGGCUUCCCAGACAGUAAGAGUUCAAGUACAUUGACCAAAGGUUGCCAUGACAGCCCUCUGCUCUUGAGUACCGGUGGACCUGGGGACCCUGAAUCUUUGCUAGGAACUGUGAGUCAUGCCCAAGAAUUGGGGAUACAUCCCUAUGGUCAUCAGCCAACUGCUGCAUUCAGUAAAAAUAAGGUGCCCAGCAGAGAGCCUGUCAUAGGGAACUGCAUGGAUAGAAGUUCUCCAGGACAAGCAGUGGAGCUGCCGGAUCACAAUGGGCUCGGGUACCCAGCGCACCCCUCCGUCCAUGAGCACCACAGGCCCCGGGCCCUCCAGAGACACCACACGAUCCAGAACAGCGACGAUGCUUAUGUACAGCUGGAUAACUUGCCAGGAAUGAGUCUCGUGGCUGGGAAAGCACUUAGCUCUGCCCGGAUGUCGGAUGCAGUUCUCAGUCAGUCUUCACUCAUGGGCAGCCAGCAGUUUCAGGAUGGGGAAAAUGAGGAAUGUGGGGCAAGCCUGGGAGGUCAUGAGCACCCAGACCUGAGUGAUGGCAGCCAGCAUUUAAACUCCUCUUGCUAUCCAUCUACGUGUAUUACAGACAUUCUGCUCAGCUACAAGCACCCCGAAGUCUCCUUCAGCAUGGAGCAGGCAGGCGUGUAACCAGAAACAGAGAGUUUUGUGUACAGCUUGGGAAUGAAAAGGUUGAUUGUAAACCCACAGUAUCUAGCAGCGUUGCGCCAAAUUUCCCUUGUGUUUCUCUCUACCCAAAAUAUCACAGCUGCUUUCCUCACAUUUGGUUCAUCCAUGUGCUGGUUCUUUUGGGUUCUGAGAGGGUUUUGCCAUGUUUGCUUGUAUGACCAAGUCACCAAGGAAAUAAACAGGAAGGAAAUCC